Cornus florida is the source of this 463-nucleotide long non-coding RNA. RefSeq lists it as uncharacterized. The record is from RefSeq and is a predicted model, not a curated record. The transcript has 2 exons. Lineage: Eukaryota; Viridiplantae; Streptophyta; Magnoliopsida; Cornales; Cornaceae.
CGUUUGAAGUUCUAUUUAUGCUACUUAAAAAUGUUUACCGAUUCAUUCUAGGGUUUCUCUGGUUGAUCAAAACAAACCCAAAUGAAAAGGGAAGCCAUUGGAGUGCGCUGAAGUUAAUAUAAUCACGACUCUCAGAUCUGGGCAUAUAGCUUCAAUUAAAUGGCAUGGAUAUCUGAUAAGAGAGAAGUGACUCGAUCAUGUUGAACAUUCUGUCUCUCAGCUCUACUUUCCCUGCAUCUUCAUUCUUCUCUAAGUUCUGUAGCUUGUCUCCAAAGUGAACUUGGAGCUUAGACUUUUGGUCAGCCAGAACCAAAAGUUGCUAUUGGGGCCUAACGUUGGUGUGUGACUAUCUCCAUUCUCCAAUGGCUGUAUUCUAAUCUGCUAGUUUUUGCUGAGAUGCACACUGCUUUUUAGCACUGAAACUUUUUAUGACAUUAUUUUGCAGGAUGAAAGACUUUUAGCA